RNAcentral lists this ribosomal RNA (467 nucleotides) under uncultured bacterium. Its description in RNAcentral is "partial 16S ribosomal RNA". It matches the Rfam family "Bacterial small subunit ribosomal RNA", at positions 29 to 507 of the family's 1533-position model. The record is from RNAcentral.
ACGAACGCUGGCGGCGUGCUUAACACACGCAAGUCGAACGGAAAGGCCCUGCUUUUGUGGGGUGCUCGAGUGGCGAACGGGUGAGUAACACGUGAGUAACCUGCCCUUGACUUUGGGAUAACUUCAGGAAACUGGGGCUAAUACCGGAUAGGAGCUCCUGCUGCAUGGUGGGGGUUGGAAAGUUUCGGCGGUUGGGGAUGGACUCGCGGCUUAUCAGCUUGUUGGUGGGGUAGUGGCUUACCAAGGCUUUGACGGGUAGCCGGCCUGAGAGAGUGACCGGCCACAUUGGGACUGAGAUACGGCCCAGACUCCUACGGGAGGCAGCAGUGGGGAAUAUUGCACAAUGGGCGGAAGCCUGAUGCAGCAACGCCGCGUGCGGGAUGACGGCCUUCGGGUUGUAAACCGCUUUCGCCUGUGACGAAGCGUGAGUGACGGUAAUGGGUAAAGAAGCACCGGCUAACUACGUG